RNAcentral lists this ribosomal RNA (276 nucleotides) under Triticum aestivum (bread wheat). RNAcentral's name for it is "partial small subunit ribosomal RNA". The record is from RNAcentral. Lineage: Eukaryota; Viridiplantae; Streptophyta; Magnoliopsida; Poales; Poaceae.
AUGGUGGGUGCCAGUGUAGUCGCUUGUUGCUCCUUGUUCAUCAUGGCUUUGAUGGCGGCCGCAGCGGCCCCAGGUUUCGUGCCGGCAUUGUACGUGUUCGGCGACUCGCUAGCGGAUGUAGGGAACAACAACCAUAUGCUAACACUGAUCAAGGCGGACUUCACGCACAACGGCAUGGACUACCCGGGGAGGAAGGCCACCGGCCGCUUCAGCAACGGCAAGAACUCAGCCAACUUCCUCGUGAAGCUCGAUCUCUCAAUCAACGAGUACUCAUGA